Molecule: long non-coding RNA, 382 nt
Filed under: Callithrix jacchus (white-tufted-ear marmoset)
Lineage: Eukaryota; Metazoa; Chordata; Mammalia; Primates; Cebidae
Description: lncRNA (ENSCJAG00000085335.1)
Source: RNAcentral
GGGGAACCAGAGCAGCAGCUGUGGCUCGGCCCCUCGGAAGCAGCACGGGCCAGCUGGAAUUAAAAGCGCAGUUUUUUUUUUUUUUACCUCCAGUCUUUCUCUCUGCUUUCCAUCUCCUUCUCCGUCCUUCGGAUAUUAUCUCUGAGACCAAAACCUUCAGGAGCCUGUGGGGCAGAUCAGUUCUGAAGCUGGAAAAUCCAAGAUUUGGUGUCUGGUGAGUACUCAUUCUCUGGUUCAGAGAUGAUGGCUUUUAGCUCUGUCUGCAAUGUGUUGUAAGAGGAGAAUUCUGGCUUCCCCAGUCCCUUAUAAGGGCAAUAACCCCAUUCAUGAAGGUCAUCCUCAUUAACUAGUUACCUCCCAAAGCCUACCCCCAAUACCACCC